UUAUCAUACUCAUUUUCUCUGUGCCAACACGGUGUGUGUAUGAUGCUUGCUCUUUUGCUAGAUGACAUUGAUGAGAUGAGGAUCUACUAUAUCUUGAACGAAGGCAGCAAGGCAACUAAAGACAUCUUCUACUUCUCGGCUGAAGACAAUGCUGAGCCUUCUUCAACCAGGGCCAUUCCAAGUACAAAGUCACGCAAUACUGGGCCUGCUGUUUCUACACCACCACGAGGUUUGUUGAUGUUUUAAAACAGUUUUUCUCUGGAGUCACUGUUAUGAUGCUCUACUUAAUGGGACUGACUACUGCAGGGAAACUGACAAAGACCAAGAAAUGGAAGCAAAAUAGACAAAGUCUCUCUCCUCUACAGGAACUCUCACUUCUGGAAUGUUGCACAAGAAUAAUACUGUAGAUUAAAGAAAUUAAAGCAUUCUAGAAAAACACAUAAAUGAUGAAUGUGAGCAUGAAAUGGUAGGCCAGGUAUAAGGAACCCAGUAGUGCAGUGGUGAAAGGGGCUUAUGGUCAAACAUGGCUGGACUCAGCCCUGAGCUUGGCCCUGUCCCAGGUGCUGACCCUGAGUGGAUUGAACCCUGAGUUCUCCAAAAGGUCAUUGUCAUCUUAAUUUUAAAAUGCGGCUCAUUACACCUAUCUCACAGUGUUUCUCUAAGGAUUAAAUAAGAAAAUAUGUGUAAAAUUGCUUGACUGAGAGCCCAAUACAUCAUACGUGCCCAGUUAAGUAUAAUCCAUCUGGGUCCUGAGAUAAGGAUGAUCAGGUGGCAUUCACUCUCUCUCUCUGAUUACUCUUCUAUGGGGAAGAAGAUGACUUAGAAAGAGCAGGUUGAAAGCAGAAAAGAAGAAGGUCUUUUGUAGGUGGGAUUUCAGCAGGGUCCUCUGGAUUUAAAGUAAAGCCUCACAGAAGACUUAGCAUAGCUCCUGGAUCAUUAGCUAGUGGAAACACUGAGAAAAAGGGAAGCAAUGGGUUUUCAGAAGGACAGAGACCAAGAGAGGAAAAUUAGGCUAAGUGCUUAGAAUCAAUUACUAACUUCUGGGUCCAGUUAAAUAAUCUACUUUUCAAAGUGAUUUCAGUGUGAAGCCCACAUGAUAGUGUCAAACCAGAGAACAUUCAUGGGUCCACUGCAGACACACACAGCACACAUGCCAUGAAUCCUGUAAACAGUGAGCGGCGAAAGAAUGACCCACUGUAAUCACGUCUUUGACGAG
Molecule: long non-coding RNA, 1216 nt
Filed under: Bos indicus x Bos taurus (hybrid cattle)
Lineage: Eukaryota; Metazoa; Chordata; Mammalia; Artiodactyla; Bovidae
Description: lncRNA (ENSBIXG00005006305.1)
Source: RNAcentral